AGUGAACGCUGGCGGUAGGCCUAACACAUGCAAGUCGAACGGCAGCACAGUAAGAGCUUGCUCUUACGGGUGGCGAGUGGCGGACGGGUGAGGAAUACAUCGGAAUCUACUUUUUCGUGGGGGAUAACGUAGGGAAACUUACGCUAAUACCGCAUACGACCUACGGGUGAAAGCAGGGGAUCUUCGGACCUUGCGCGAUUGAAUGAGCCGAUGUCGGAUUAGCUAGUUGGCGGGGUAAAGGCCCACCAAGGCGACGAUCCGUAGCUGGUCUGAGAGGAUGAUCAGCCAAACUGGAACUGAGACACGGUCCAGACUCCUAAGGGAGGCAGCAGUGGGGAAUAUUGGACAAUGGGCGCAAGCCUGAUCCAGCCAUACCGCGUGGGUGAAGAAGGCCUUCGGGUUGUAAAGCCCUUUUGUUGGGAAAGAAAAGCAGCAGGUUAAUACCCCGCUGUUCUGACGGUACCCAAAGAAUAAGCACCGGCUAACUUCGUG
RNAcentral lists this ribosomal RNA (492 nucleotides) under uncultured bacterium. RNAcentral describes it as "partial 16S ribosomal RNA". It matches the Rfam family "Bacterial small subunit ribosomal RNA", at positions 29 to 507 of the family's 1533-position model. The record is from RNAcentral.